GUUUUCCUACGGGGCGCAGCAGUGGGGAAUAUUGGGCAAUGGACGCAAGUCUGACCCAGCAACGCCGCGUGAAGGAAGAAGGCUUUCGGGUUGUAAACUUCUUUUAAGGGGGAAGAGGAGAAGACGGUACCCCUUGAAUAAGCCACGGCUAACUACGUGCCAGCAGCCGCGGUAAUACGUAGGUGGCAAGCGUUGUCCGGAUUUACUGGUUGUAAAGGGCGUGCAGCCGGGCUGACAAGUCAGCUGUGAAUUCGGCGGCCUUAACC
This 266-nucleotide ribosomal RNA is filed under the name uncultured bacterium. RNAcentral's name for it is "partial 16S ribosomal RNA". It matches the Rfam family "Bacterial small subunit ribosomal RNA", at positions 333 to 614 of the family's 1533-position model. The record is from RNAcentral.